RNAcentral lists this ribosomal RNA (253 nucleotides) under uncultured bacterium. RNAcentral's name for it is "partial 16S ribosomal RNA". It matches the Rfam family "Bacterial small subunit ribosomal RNA", at positions 524 to 776 of the family's 1533-position model. The record is from RNAcentral.
UACGUAGGGGGCGAGCGUUGUCCGGAGUUACUGGGCGUAAAGGGCGCGCAGGCGGUCUGGUAAGUUUGGAGUGACAGUGCUCGGCUUAACUGAGCAAGGCCUUCGAAAACUGCUAGACUUGAGCACUCAAGAGGGACAUAGAAUUCCGGGUGGAGUGGUGAAAUGCGUAGAUAUCGGGAGGAACACCAGUGGCGAAGGCGGCCUGCUGGGCAGUGGCUGACGCUGAGGCGCGACAGCGUGGGGAGCAAACAGG